GAUGAACGCUGGCGGCGUGCCUAAUACAUGCAAGUCGAGCGAACAGACGAGGAGCUUGCUCCUCUGACGUUAGCGGCGGACGGGUGAGUAACACGUGGAUAACCUACCUAUAAGACUGGGAUAACUUCGGGAAACCGGAGCUAAUACCGGAUAACAUGUUGAACCGCAUGGUUCAACAGUGAAAGACGGUCUUGCUGUCACUUAUAGAUGGAUGCGCGCCGCAUUAGCUAGUUGGUAAGGUAACGGCUUACCAAGGCAACGAUGCGUAGCCGACCUGAGAGGGUGAUCGGCCACACUGGAACUGAGACACGGUCCAGACUCCUACGGGAGGCAGCAGUAGGGAAUCUUCCGCAAUGGGCGAAAGCCUGACGGAGCAACGCCGCGUGAGUGAAGAAGGUCUUCGGAUCGUAAAACUCUGUUAUUAGGGAAGAACAAAUGUGUAAGUAACUAUGCACGUCUUGACGGUACCUAAUCAGAAAGCCACGGCUAACUACGUG
RNAcentral lists this ribosomal RNA (497 nucleotides) under uncultured bacterium. RNAcentral's name for it is "partial 16S ribosomal RNA". It matches the Rfam family "Bacterial small subunit ribosomal RNA", at positions 28 to 507 of the family's 1533-position model. The record is from RNAcentral.